Molecule: non-coding RNA, 315 nt
Organism: Methanomethylovorans hollandica DSM 15978
Lineage: Archaea; Methanobacteriati; Methanobacteriota; Methanomicrobia; Methanosarcinales; Methanosarcinaceae
Rfam family: Archaeal signal recognition particle RNA
Source: Rfam
UGGCAGGCUAGUCCGGAUAGUCCGGCGUCAUCUAUAACCCGAAAUCGCCGAUAUGCGGGGGACGAAGCCGAUGGAAGAUGUCUGGAUCAUCCCCAAACCUGUGGUUUCAACUGAGAAACUCCGUCCUGCUUGGAUGAUGUUGAUUUAAGGGCUUGUUGGAGAACAUGUCUUUCUAUCUUGAUCGUGGGGACCAGUCCAGGCCCGGAAGGGAGCAGACCAACCAUGAACAACCGUCGCUUGUAGGGUUGCGGGGUGGAGGCGAGGCUGCAGACCAUUUGUGUAUGUGAAUGAUAGCAACCUGAGGCAUGCCUGCCA